AUACGUAGGUGGCAAGCGUUAUCCGGAAUUAUUGGGCGUAAAGAGGGAGCAGGCGGCAGCAAGGGUCUGUGGUGAAAGCCUGAAGCUUAACUUCAGUAAGCCAUAGAAACCAGGCAGCUAGAGUGCAGGAGAGGAUCGUGGACUUCCAUGUGUAGCGGUGAAAUGCGUAGAUAUAUUGAGGAACACCAGUGGCGAAGGCGACUAUCUGCCCUGCAACAGAGGCUCAGUCCCGAAAUAGUGGGGAGCAAAUAGGAUUAAAUUCCCUAGUAAGCCACGCCGUAAACGAUGAGUACUAAGUGUUGGAUGUCAAAGUUCAGUGCUGCAGUUAUCGCAAUAAGUACUCCGCCUGAGUCGUACGUUCGCAAGACUGAAACUCAAAGGAAUUGACGGCG
This 392-nucleotide ribosomal RNA is filed under the name uncultured bacterium. RNAcentral's name for it is "partial 16S ribosomal RNA". It matches the Rfam family "Bacterial small subunit ribosomal RNA", at positions 523 to 918 of the family's 1533-position model. The record is from RNAcentral.